RNAcentral lists this ribosomal RNA (253 nucleotides) under uncultured bacterium. RNAcentral describes it as "partial 16S ribosomal RNA". It matches the Rfam family "Bacterial small subunit ribosomal RNA", at positions 524 to 776 of the family's 1533-position model. The record is from RNAcentral.
UACAGAGGUCCCAAGCGUUGUUCGGAUUUACUGGGCGUAAAGGGCGCGUAGGUUGCAAGCUAAGUCUAAUGUGAAAGCUCUGAGCUUAACUCAGAAAUGGCAUUGGAAACUAGUUCGCUAGAGGAUUGAAAGGGAGAUUGGAAUGCUCGGUGUAGCAGUGAAAUGCGUAGAUAUCGAGCGGAACACCAGUGGCGAAGGCGAAUCUCUGGGCAAUUCCUGACACUGAGGCGCGAAAGCUAGGGGAGCAAACGGG